RNAcentral lists this long non-coding RNA (556 nucleotides) under Olea europaea (common olive). RNAcentral's name for it is "long non-coding RNA (OEUR_LNC004575)". Lineage: Eukaryota; Viridiplantae; Streptophyta; Magnoliopsida; Lamiales; Oleaceae. The record is from RNAcentral.
GAAUUUGAUUGGGGAACUGGGGAGACUCCUAGGAGAUCAGCAAGAAUCAGUGAAAAAGUCAAGUCAACACCUCCUUCAAAAGAGACUGAACCGCCUAAGAAACGAGUCAGGAAAUCGUUGGGUACAAAGAAAGAAAAGGAAAUGGAAACUGGAAAAGAAGAAACAGGGGGAAAGAAAGACGCUGAAAUGCUGGAUGCUGAAGUUGAUGAAAAGAAAAAUGACGGGGGAAAGGAAAUUGAUCUGAGGGAUGAAAAUGAAGUCAAAACUGAAGGUAAAAUACAAGAAGACGCUGAUAAGAAAAGUGACACUGAGAUCAAAUUGGACGGGAAAGAUCCAGAAGAAAAUGUUGUGACUGAAGAAAUGCCUAAGAUAGGAGAAAAAGUCGAAGAAGAACAAGUACCUUCGUCUGGAAAACCAGAUUCCAAACCUGGAAAUGUUGGGGUAGAUGAUGAGACACAGGAUAAGCCAGAAAGCAUCACUGAAGCGGCCAAUGGAGCUGAAACUAAUGACGUCCAAGAGAGUAGUGGCAUAUUUAAUUUGCAGGUGAAUAUAGAAG